This 886-nucleotide unclassified non-coding RNA is filed under the name Hevea brasiliensis (rubber tree). The record is from RNAcentral. Lineage: Eukaryota; Viridiplantae; Streptophyta; Magnoliopsida; Malpighiales; Euphorbiaceae.
GUUAGAUAAAGGUAGUGCAAGGUAUGUCCCUUCUUCGAAGGAUGGCAUGUCUCUUCCCAUUGUGAAUGCGGCCUAUUUGGUAUAAGAUAAGAUGUCAGAUGAUGGAGUUUACUUCUUCGACGGGGAUGAUGAUCAGGCGAAGAAGACAGAAAAGAAGUUCGGAUCGAUUGAGAGAAUGAGGCAAGUCAUUCAAUCUUUUCUCAUUCGGUAGAAGAAGGUAGUUUACUAAGUCGACCAUAGAGAAAGCUUUAGGCGCGUUUAAGGGAGAAGAAGUCAGUUUACUUAUUCGAGCAACGGGGGAGGGUGCAGCUCUUUCGUUAAGUGUCAAGAGGUUGUCAAGAUCAUCUUCCAAGUGGCCUAUUAGUUCUUUUCUGAGAGAGUUGGCAUUGCCUAUGUCUCUGAAUUGCUAUUAAAGUAGCUGCUGGUCGGAAGCUCGUUUCCUAGAAGUAGCUCGUGCCUUAGCAUCAGCGAGAAAGACUUCCAUCGAGAGAGGAUCAGAAGUAGGGCUCGACUAAAGAAAGGGAGAGGAAGAAGCUUAGGAGGGCGAGUGCCUUAGCUAGAAGACUAGAAUUGAUUGAGGAGAAGUCGGCCAAGGAUAGGUAAUCUCGGGCUUGUUGAAGAGAGUUUACUAAGUAGCCCAACCAGAUGGUGAAGCCAAGGCAUCCAACGGCCAUUCCCUUACUAAACUCUAAUCGCUUUCAAUUCAAGAAAAAAAGAAGCGAGCCAGCCACUCUCUAACAUUAUAUCUAAAGCCUUUCUUCUGAGCCAGGAAUAAGCCCAAGACUGGGAAGCUCUAAACUCGUUAACAGAAUCUGUAGCGGGCAAAGGAGUUUGAUCGAAUCCACCUUUCUUAUUUCCCACGCCCGAGUGAGUGGUUAUGCUUUCA